AGCAGCCGCGGUAAUUCCAGCUCCAAUAGCGUAUAUUAAAGUUGCUGCAGUUAAAAAGCUCGUAGUUGAAUUUCGGGACUAAUAUGUCGGUCGUGCCUCGGUACGUACUGGUUUAUUGGUUUCUCCUUUCUGAAGAACCAUGAUGUCAUUUAUUUGGUGUCGUGGGGAAUCAGGACUGUUACUUUGAAAAAAUUAGAGUGUUUAAAGCAGGCUCACGCUUGAAUACAUUAGCAUGGAAUAAUGAAAUAGGACGUUUGAUUCUAUUUUGUUGGUUUCUAGGAUCGACGUAAUGAUUAAUAGGGAUAGUUGGGGGCAUUAGUAUUCAAUUGUCAGAGGUGAAAUUCUUGGAUUUAUUGAAGACUAACUACUGCGAAAGCAUUUGCCAAGGAUGUUUUCAUUAAUCAAGAACGAAAGUUAGGGGAUCGAAGACGAUCAGAUACCGUCGUAGUCUUAACCAUAAACUAUGCCGACUAGGGAUCGGAUGAUGUUAAUUUUUAA
This 498-nucleotide unclassified non-coding RNA is filed under the name uncultured Glomus. Its description in RNAcentral is "SSU rRNA". It matches the Rfam family "Eukaryotic small subunit ribosomal RNA", at positions 569 to 1073 of the family's 1831-position model. Lineage: Eukaryota; Fungi; Glomeromycota; Glomeromycetes; Glomerales; Glomeraceae. The record is from RNAcentral.